This 571-nucleotide ribosomal RNA is filed under the name Pteroptyx tener. RNAcentral describes it as "partial large subunit ribosomal RNA". It matches the Rfam family "Bacterial large subunit ribosomal RNA", at positions 1828 to 2663 of the family's 2925-position model. The record is from RNAcentral. Lineage: Eukaryota; Metazoa; Arthropoda; Insecta; Coleoptera; Lampyridae.
AUGUCUUUUUGAUUAUAAUUUAAGGUUUAAUCUGCUCAAUGAUUAUUUAAAUUGCCGCAGUAUUUUGACUGUGCAAAGGUAGCAUAAUAAUUAGUUUCUUUAUUGGGAACUGGAAUGAAUGAUUGGACGAGAAAAUUUCUGUCUCUUUAUUAUUUUAAUUGAAUUUUACUUUUAAGUUAAAAGGCUUAAAUUUUAUUAGAGGACGAGAAGACCCUAUAGAGUUUAAUUUUUAUUUAAAUAAUUAUUUUUAGUAUUUAUAUAUAUUAUUUAAAUAAAAAUUUAGUUGGGGUGACUAAAAGAUAAGAAUAACUCUUUUAAUUUUAAUCAAUUAUUUUUGAUUAUAAAAUCUUUAUUUUUAAUUUUAAAAUAAAUUACCUUAGGGAUAACAGCGUAAUUCUUUUUUAAAGUUCUUAUUAAAAGAAGAGUUUGCGACCUCGAUGUUGGAUUAAAAUUAAUUUUAGGUGUAGAAGCUUGAAAAUUAAGUCUGUUCGACUUUUAAAAUUUUACAUGAUCUGAGUUUAAACCGGUGUGAGCCAGGUUGGUUUCUAUCCUUAAUUAUAUAUUAUACUUU